AGCACUGCUUCGUGAUUGGUCGACUCAUGCCCCUCCCCCUUCUCUCCGGGGCUUCCGCUUCCGAUUCUGACCGACGCUAGGGCCGUAACGAUGAUCGGAGACAUCCUGCUGUUCGGGACGCUGCUUAUGAACGCCGGGGCGGUGCUCAACUUUAAGCUGAAAAAGAAGGAUACACAGGGCUUUGGGGAAGAGUCCAGGGAGCCUGGCACAGGUGACAACAUCCGGGAGUUCUUGCUGAGCCUCAGGUACUUCCGAAUCUUCAUUGCCCUGUGGAACGUCUUCAUGAUGUUCUGCAUGAUCGUGUUGUUUGGCUCCUGAGCCCCAGAUACCAAACCAGGAACAUACCUCCCCAGGUGCUGAGUCUCACUUCCUCCAUUUCUGAUGACUUCAAGAAUAUUAUUUGACCAGCAAACCGGUGACCUUUCCAGAAAGCCCAAGCUUGCGAUUUUUAGAAACCAUUUAUAUCCAGGGAUCUGAAGCAGAAAGUUGGCUUUAAGUUUGAUGCAGCCUCUUUAUUGGACUGUGUUUGUGAAUAACGAAGUUCGUUGUUGCUGGAUCUGCAUCCAAGUUUCUUCCACAUCCCAGUGGCUCUGCUUGGCCACUCAGUGCAGCCAAGGUCAUCCCCAGGACUUAAAGGGUGACGUGUUACUGGUUCCCACAGAAGAGAAGUGCAGAACAAUUGGCAGGGGCAGGCAGGGGUCUCAUGAGAAAUUUUGCCUUGCCUUAAAAGCCCUCUGUUAGAGUAACUUUUGAGGCCAUUAGUUGUACAAUUUUUAGAGUGAGAGUGAUUCAUGUGGUGAUAUUGAGACUCAGUUCUGAAAGCUUAGGUUUUGGGGUCUGCUUUACAAGUUCGUAAUUUCAGGGUUGAAAAACAAUGAGCCUCAUUUGAGCAGUUUGCACAGAAGCUUCUUUGAAAGAAAAUCCUGACUUAAUUGCCAAAAUGAACUGCUGGUGGUUGGCACCUGGAUCCCACAGGUGUUUGAUUUGUUUGUUGUGUUUUUUGAAAUCCUGACUUGUAGAUAAACCUGGUGGGAGGAAAAAAUAAACAUGCAGGCUUUUAGAAUUAAAAAACAUUGAAAAUAAAGCUCAUUUCCAAAAAGGA
RNA transcript from Pteropus alecto (black flying fox), 1102 nucleotides. It is a transcript of the gene named small integral membrane protein 7, with no coding region annotated. The record is from RefSeq and is a predicted model, not a curated record. Lineage: Eukaryota; Metazoa; Chordata; Mammalia; Chiroptera; Pteropodidae. The transcript has 6 exons.